RNAcentral lists this ribosomal RNA (373 nucleotides) under uncultured organism. RNAcentral's name for it is "bacterial SSU rRNA". It matches the Rfam family "Bacterial small subunit ribosomal RNA", at positions 526 to 896 of the family's 1533-position model. The record is from RNAcentral.
CGUAGGUGGCAAGCGUUGUCCGGAAUUAUUGGGCGUAAAGCGCGCGCAGGCGGUCCUUUAAGUCUGAUGUGAAAGCCCACGGCUCAACCGUGGAGGGUCAUUGGAAACUGGGGGACUUGAGUACAGAAGAGAAGAGUGGAAUUCCACGUGUAGCGGUGAAAUGCGUAGAGAUGUGGAGGAACACCAGUGGCGAAGGCGACUCUUUGGUCUGUAACCUGACGCUGAGGCGCGAAAGCGUGGGGAGCAAACAGGAUUAGAUACCCUGGUAGUCCACGCUGUAAACGAUGAGUGCUAAGUGUUAGAGGGUUUCCGCCCUUUAGUGCUGCAGCUAACGCAUUAAGCACUCCGCCUGGGGAGUACGGCCGCAAGGCUG